Molecule: ribosomal RNA, 489 nt
Filed under: Lacticaseibacillus rhamnosus
Lineage: Bacteria; Bacillati; Bacillota; Bacilli; Lactobacillales; Lactobacillaceae
Description: bacterial SSU rRNA
Rfam family: Bacterial small subunit ribosomal RNA
Source: RNAcentral
UCGAAGCAACGCGAAGAACCUUACCAGGUCUUGACAUCUUUUGAUCACCUGAGAGAUCAGGUUUCCCCUUCGGGGGCAAAAUGACAGGUGGUGCAUGGUUGUCGUCAGCUCGUGUCGUGAGAUGUUGGGUUAAGUCCCGCAACGAGCGCAACCCUUAUGACUAGUUGCCAGCAUUUAGUUGGGCACUCUAGUAAGACUGCCGGUGACAAACCGGAGGAAGGUGGGGAUGACGUCAAAUCAUCAUGCCCCUUAUGACCUGGGCUACACACGUGCUACAAUGGAUGGUACAACGAGUUGCGAGACCGCGAGGUCAAGCUAAUCUCUUAAAGCCAUUCUCAGUUCGGACUGUAGGCUGCAACUCGCCUACACGAAGUCGGAAUCGCUAGUAAUCGCGGAUCAGCACGCCGCGGUGAAUACGUUCCCGGGCCUUGUACACACCGCCCGUCACACCAUGAGAGUUUGUAACACCCGAAGCCGGUGGCGUAACCC